GCCCUCUCCGGAUUGCAUCUCGAGAGUUUCCAGUACACUACCAGCCUCCGCUAUGGGAGGGAGAGUCAAGCAGAGGCAUACCCAUUCCAUCCCUAGCUUGGGCAGUGGCUAGAGAGAGGAAGGUAAUCUGCUACAAAU
This is a small nucleolar RNA of Ornithorhynchus anatinus (platypus), 138 nucleotides long. The record is from RefSeq and is a predicted model, not a curated record. Lineage: Eukaryota; Metazoa; Chordata; Mammalia; Monotremata; Ornithorhynchidae.